RNAcentral lists this transfer RNA (83 nucleotides) under Firmicutes bacterium CAG:424. It matches the Rfam family "tRNA". Rfam says of the family: Transfer RNA (tRNA) molecules are approximately 80 nucleotides in length. Lineage: Bacteria; Bacillati; Bacillota. The record is from Rfam by way of RNAcentral.
GCACCAGUGGCGGAACUGGCAUACGCACAAGGUUUAAGCCCUUGCGUCCAUUGAGAUUGAGGGUUCAAAUCCCUCCUGGUGUA